UACAGAGGUCUCAAGCGUUGUUCGGAUUCAUUGGGCGUAAAGGGUGCGUGAGGUGUCGGUAAGUCGGGUGUUAAACCCCCAGGCUCAACCUGGGGACGCCACUCGAUACUGCUGUGACUAGAGUCCGGUAGGGGAGCGUGGAAUUCCUGGUGUAGCGGUGAAAUGCGCAGAUAUCAGGAGGAACACCAGUGGCGAAGGCGGCUCACUGGACUGGUAUUGACGCUGAGGUGCGAAAGCGUGGGGAGCGAACAGG
RNAcentral lists this ribosomal RNA (253 nucleotides) under uncultured bacterium. RNAcentral's name for it is "partial 16S ribosomal RNA". It matches the Rfam family "Bacterial small subunit ribosomal RNA", at positions 524 to 776 of the family's 1533-position model. The record is from RNAcentral.